GGGAUCUUGUGAUGCACGUGGUUCCCUGACAAGGGCUGUCCAGUUCCCAGGGAGGAAAGGGCAGUCUGUCCUGGUACAGAGCAGAGAGAGGGAGCAAGAAAUACCUCAGCCUGUAGCUCCUGGAGGUGUCUAGAGAUGGACAGCACUGUCCUUCCAAAAGUGGACUGAUACCAUUUUGGUUUCUCUCUGAGACCUCUAACUCUGGCUUGCCACAGCUCCUUUGAUAUCCAUGGUUUCACUUUCUUGCUUGGGAUUUAUGCUGUGAUACCUUUGCCUGAAAAAGCAGGGCUUUUUUGGUAUGGUGUCAAUAAGCAUUUGCAAAAAUCAAUCAAAAAGGCAGCAAGGGGAUUCCACAAUUUCUGGAAAUAUGCUGAUGCUGCUCUACCGUCGUCAGAAGAUAAAAAUAUCGCUGCAAAUUCUAAGUAUCUUCACCUUCCCAUGCCUUGUUGGAGAAUCCAGUCUGUCAUUUGUUCAGAAUACCCAGGUCACAGGCAGAUGCAUUUCCCAGAUGUCAAUCCUACAGGGAUUCCAGUGGACCAGUGUUAGUGUAAGGAAUGCUCCAUCUGCACUAAAAAGAAUGGCAAGAACUCUGAUUUUAAUGCUCUGGUAAAUGUGGAUCACUGCACAUGGCACAGGAAGGAAUAUUUUCAUCAGCAACACCACAACUGAGUUUACAUGUUCAUGAUCUUCAAGAUGUGCCUCUGUAAGGAGACUCAGAAGAAAUCCUUUCCUUUCCUGGACACUGAGAAUAAACCAAAGCUGGUUCUGACAACACUGCUGAUCAA
Molecule: long non-coding RNA, 785 nt
Organism: Passer domesticus (house sparrow)
Lineage: Eukaryota; Metazoa; Chordata; Aves; Passeriformes; Passeridae
Exons: 5
Source: RefSeq, a predicted model, not a curated record